Morus notabilis is the source of this 320-nucleotide long non-coding RNA. RefSeq lists it as uncharacterized. The record is from RefSeq and is a predicted model, not a curated record. The transcript has 4 exons. NCBI's taxonomy places the organism in Eukaryota, Viridiplantae, Streptophyta, Magnoliopsida, Rosales, Moraceae.
CUGGAUGCGUCCUAGUUUGCCUCUCAAAUCAAUCAGGUGGUCACUGCUGCAAAGGAACUUUGCCUUGAUGAUAAAAACAUUCUGUUGCCAACAAUCCAAAAAGAAGCAGGUACAAAUGCGAUGUUUGUUCAUAACUUACUGACCCCAUUUUGCGGUUCACAAUUCUUUUAGAAAAUUUGGAAACUCGGAUCACUAAAAUCAUGUGUUUUUAGUAACAAGCAAGGAAUUCGACCAAGUGUCUCCGAGGCGCCAAAUCAGCUGGACAUCAUCUAACUCAUUGACAGUUCUUUUUUAAUAAAGCAUAAAAAAUAAAUAAUAAA